GCAUUUGUAACUCAACUGGAUAGAGUGUUGGUCUACGGAACCAAAAGUUAUAGGUUCAAAUCCUAUCAAGUGUA
Molecule: transfer RNA, 74 nt
Filed under: Stigeoclonium helveticum
Lineage: Eukaryota; Viridiplantae; Chlorophyta; Chlorophyceae; Chaetophorales; Chaetophoraceae
Description: tRNA-Arg
Rfam family: tRNA
About the family: Transfer RNA (tRNA) molecules are approximately 80 nucleotides in length. Their secondary structure includes four short double-helical elements and three loops (D, anti-codon, and T loops).
Source: RNAcentral